UGGGGAAUUUUGGACAAUGGGCGAAAGCCUGAUCCAGUAAUGCCGCGUGUGUGAAGAAGGCCUUCGGGUUGUAAAGCACUUUUGUCCGGAAAGAAAUCCUUGGCUCUAAUACAGUCGGGGGAUGACGGUACCGGAAGAAUAAGCACCGGCUAACUACGUGCCAGCAGCCGCGGUAAUACGUAGGGUGCAAGCGUUAAUCGGAAUUACUGGGCGUAGAGCGUGCGCAGGCGGUUUGCUAAGACCGAUGUGAAAUCCCCGGGCUCAACCUGGGAACUGCAUUGGGUGACUGGCAGGCUAGAGUAUGGCAGAGGGGGGUAGAAUUCCACGUGUAGCAGUGAAAUGCGUAGAGAUGUGGAGGAAUACCGAUGGCGAAGGCAGCCCCCCUGGGGCCAAUACUGACGCUCAUGCACGAAAGCGUGGGGGAGCAAACAGGAUUAGAUACCCUGGUAGUCCACGCCCUAAACGAUGUCAACUAGUUGUUGGGGAUUCAUUUCCUUAGUAACGUAGCUAACGCGUGAAGUUGACCGCCUGGGGAGUACGGUCGCAAGAUUAAAACUCAAAUGAAUUGACGGGGUCAUAGCUGUUUCCU
This 589-nucleotide ribosomal RNA is filed under the name uncultured bacterium. RNAcentral describes it as "partial 16S ribosomal RNA". It matches the Rfam family "Bacterial small subunit ribosomal RNA", at positions 355 to 1375 of the family's 1533-position model. The record is from RNAcentral.